CUCCAUCCAAAUUGACGUUAACUGCGUUGACUCUCCCCUGUUUGAGCCCACUUGAAGGGCUAAAUUUGUCAAUUCAGUCAUAAUGAAAGAAAGAGUUUCUCUCGAUCUUGGCAAUCUGCUUCAACGACGGUGUUUUGGUUGGUUGCCUCUUCUUCUUCGUCUUCGUCUUCGUCAUCUAGGAUUUGUCGGUUUUGUUUUUUCGUUUUAGUCCCUUUUCCCCAAGGAAUGGAUCAGAGAACGAACCAUCAAUUGAGUAUUUAGGACCGAUCUAAUCGGAGGUGUUCGGCUUGGGAUUGUCGAUCUUCAUUGAUGACAUCUUCUCGUUCUCUUUCCCCAUCUCAAAUAUCUUUCAUUAACAAAUCACACCAGCACUGACAUCACGUCCCACUCCAACUUCGCUGAGUCCACCAAGGCUGUUCUCAACCUCGUUUGAUCUACUUGCAGCAAACCUUGCCGAUCCAAAAUCGUUAGGGAUUUGGGGAAACCUAAUUGGGUUGUACAAGUUUGCUGCCAUAUUACUCAUUCUAUCAGUUUGUGUGUAAGGUUGAACAAGUCGCGGCCACGAAACUAGUCAAGUGAGAAUGCUCAGGGAAGAACUACAGCUUCUGCAAGAGCCUGCACAAAGGUACUUGCUGUAUUCAUAUCCUGAUACAGUUGGAAAAGAGUUCACUUUGAAAGUUAUCUUCGCUCCUGUCUUAGCACAAUACCAGCUGAGGCUGCCUAUCGGAAGAUGGUUGAUUUAUCUGCUUAAGAAAUAAGCACAAGAUUUGAAGAGCACUCUUGUUGAUGCAGGGCAAAAGUAUCACUUUACAUUUGACAAAGUAUUUGAUCAUGUGGCAUCACUACAUGAUGUUUUUGUGGAAAUAUCGCAACUUUUCCAAAGUGCACUCGACGGCUACAAGGUCUGAAUAUUUGCCUAUGGUCAAUCGGGAUCUAGUAAAACAUAUACCAUGAUGGGUAGACCAGAAACUCCAGACCAAAAGGGAUUGAUAGCUCGGUUAGUAGACCAGAUAUUCCAAACAAGUCAAUCUCUUCAAGCUCAGGGUUGGAAGUAUAGGAUGCAGGCCUCAAUGCUUGAGAUCUAAAACAAGAUAAUCCGUGACUUGUCAUCGACAAAUCGACCAAGUGGUGCAGAGUUGACAAGGACAGAAAGUGGUAUGGGCAAACAAUAUACAAUAAAGCAUGAUGUCAAUGGAAACACACACGUAAUAAAUGAUAUCGUAAUGGUUAAUGGCAUGGAUGGUAUAGGUACUGUAUGUAUCAUGCUCUUCUGCUGCAGUAUGUGCUACUUGCGAAGCAUCACAAUAACCUUGGAGGUGAUGCAAGUCAGAAUAUAGUGCACAAGAUGCUUGAUAAAAUGGCACAUGAAGGUUUUGUUGAUGUCAAAGGAUAUUGUAUCAGCUUUUGAUUCAUGUAUAGCUACUUCAGCAUGAUGAAUUUCUGCUUGUGCUGAUAGAUAUGACAUAAAACAAUUAUCAGUUUUGAUUCAUGCAUGCAUGGGUCUAGCUAGACUAGGAAUGCUUUCUUCGUUUGUUUGGUAGUUUAAUUAUCUAGUUUGGAUGUUUGGUUGUACUUGACAAAUGCAACUCAUAUAGUUACACUAAUUAUAUGGAUCAAUGUGGCUUUAUAUGUAUUGUUCAUUCGGUAAUAUAUAUUGUUCAUUUGA
Molecule: long non-coding RNA, 1666 nt
Organism: Rosa rugosa (rugosa rose)
Lineage: Eukaryota; Viridiplantae; Streptophyta; Magnoliopsida; Rosales; Rosaceae
Exons: 8
Source: RefSeq, a predicted model, not a curated record